GUACUGGUGUGUGCAAGCAAGAGAUCUGCAGCUCCAGGGCUGGUGGUGAGUGUGAGAAUGGGUCCCGAAAGUGAAGACAUCGUGGGGGAGGAGAUGGGAAGAGAGAAAGGAAUCUUUCCCAAUGAAUUCCCAGUGUCCACCACUGGAGUGCUGUUUGUCUGUGCCUUGGGAUACAAGGUGUUUUUCAACUACUGAUGCUGGUGGAAUCCCUGUGCCAUCUCUCCAGAAACAGCUUCCUGCUACCCGAAUUGUCUUCUGCAAGGAUGGGUUGGAGGUGCGCAGCAUGAAAGCCAAACAGAACACGGUCAGCUACUCUGUGCUGCUGAGCAUCACUGAGGGAAGCAGUGGGACAUAUAAGUGUUUGUACGAGCAGAGGAACAAGGAAAACUGGCAGAGGAGCUCUGUCCUCAGUGCCCCCCGGGACCUGCAUGUCACAGGCAACGUGUCCAGCUCCAUGGAAGGUACAGCAACUGCUGGUGAGGCUUUCCCCUUUAUUCCUGCUGUCCCCAUCCAUUCCAAUCUUCCCCUUCACUCUCCUUUGUCCCCAUCCUGUCAUUACAUCCCCAACACACCCCAAUGUCCACAUCACCCCCCUCGGACUCCUCCACACUCCAUCAACCCCAAGCUCUCUGUCCCCAUCCCUGCACUCUGUCCCCAGACCCCAACAACCAGCAGGCCUCCACAGUCACUGCAGUGGUAUUGGUGACUGUCACCCUCCUCCUUUCUGCAGCAACCUUCUGGACCAUCAAGAAAGGUGAGGGCUUGUGGGAAGCGGGAGGGAUCCAUGAGGUUGUCACAGCUCUGAUGUGGGACACUUCUUCUUGCAGGUGCCUGCAGGGAGAGAUGCCAAAGGUGAGCAGGAAUGGUCUGGUGAGGACUGGGGGAUUUAGGUGCAGCUGAGACUCUGUGCAGGGCAGCAUGGUCUGUGGGUUCCCCAAGAUAGGAUAAGGAAUUUUCCUGGAGUUUUCAUGGGGAAGAGAGUGUUUCCUCAUGGGAAUAUUUCCAACAGAACCUAGGCACCUUGUGGACGAGAGAUUGCCAUGGGGUUGGAUCGAACGCAGUGCCCAAUGCAAGGAGGCAUCAUUCAGUGAAUAUCAGUUCUGGCCCCUCCCCAGCAAACACACACCCCAAAUCCAUUUCCCUUUCCUCCCCAGGCAGCAGCACGUUCC
Molecule: long non-coding RNA, 1169 nt
Filed under: Phasianus colchicus (ring-necked pheasant)
Lineage: Eukaryota; Metazoa; Chordata; Aves; Galliformes; Phasianidae
Description: lncRNA (ENSPCLG00000015055.1)
Source: RNAcentral